UAUGAAAACAUUUAUAUGCAAGCUACAUUAAUAUUGCCAAGAAUAAGAUAACAAAAAUGAGGUACGUGUUUAUAAAAAUUUAAAGAUGAGAACUUUGAGCUGCAAGAAAAUUAAAUAGUUUGCUGACGGCCAUCAAGCUAAAAAAUGGAAGAACUGGAAUUUUGGAACUAGAUCUCUUAAAGAGUUACUAGUUUUAUUCAGAAGAUAGAGGAAAGAAGACAUGAACAAUUAUGCAUAUGGAAAGUAUUUGGUAAAUUUCCAGCUAUUCUGCCAUGUGAGGACAGAGCCUUCCUGCUAUUGGGAGGAUGCAGCAACAAGGUGUCAUCUUGGAAGCAGGGAUCAGCCCUCACCAGAAAACCAAAUCUGCCACCACCUUGAACUUAGACUUCCCAGCCUUGAGAACUAACACUACAUUGGGAAGGAUUCAUCAUCAUGACCAGAUGUCACAUGGGUCUAUGAUGCCAAAAAAGGAAGAUCCCUGGAGAACAGCAGAGGGAACAGAGUGUGCAACACCAGAGCAGCGAGCACUGGGAGAGACAAAUGUCCCGAGUCUCUGGAUCCUGCCAGAGAGGAAGAGCUUGGAGGGAAGCAAUGUGGUUAAGAGACGCAAGACAAAUUAUAAAUCAUGCUGCUAUAAAGACACAUGCACACGUAUGUUUAUUGCGGCACUAUUCACAAUAGCAAAG
RNAcentral lists this long non-coding RNA (686 nucleotides) under Homo sapiens (human). RNAcentral describes it as "HSALNT0264109". The record is from RNAcentral. Lineage: Eukaryota; Metazoa; Chordata; Mammalia; Primates; Hominidae.